CCGGAAAGGGCAAACAUACGUUAUAUCGUUAAUGUCCUGAUUUAUGUUGUAAUUAAUUAGGUAUUAUCUUUGAUUUGCACCCGAUUAAUGACAACAUAAAUC
Strongylocentrotus purpuratus (purple sea urchin) is the source of this 102-nucleotide long non-coding RNA. RefSeq lists it as uncharacterized. The transcript is spliced from 3 exons. The record is from RefSeq and is a predicted model, not a curated record. Lineage: Eukaryota; Metazoa; Echinodermata; Echinoidea; Camarodonta; Strongylocentrotidae.